Molecule: ribosomal RNA, 154 nt
Filed under: Pseudomonas aeruginosa
Lineage: Bacteria; Pseudomonadati; Pseudomonadota; Gammaproteobacteria; Pseudomonadales; Pseudomonadaceae
Description: partial 16S ribosomal RNA
Rfam family: Bacterial small subunit ribosomal RNA (bases 41-154)
Source: RNAcentral
UGAGCCAAGUUUAGGGUUUUCUCAAAACCCAAGCAGUAUUGAACUGAAGAGUUUGAUCAUGGCUCAGAUUGAACGCUGGCGGCAGGCCUAACACAUGCAAGUCGAGCGGAUGAAGGGAGCUUGCUCCUGGAUUCAGCGGCGGACGGGUGAGUAA